UGGGGAAUAUUGCACAAUGGGCGAAAGCCUGAUGCAGCAACGCCGCGUGAAGGAAGAAGGCCUUCGGGUUGUAAACUUCUUUUCUCGGGGAAGAAACAAAUGACGGUACCUGAGGAAUAAGCCCCGGCUAACUACGUGCCAGCAGCCGCGGUAAUACGUAGGGGGCUAGCGUUAUCCGGAAUUACUGGGCGUAAAGGGUGCGUAGGUGGUUUCUUAAGUCAGAGGUGAAAGGCUACGGCUCAACCGUAGUAAGCCUUUGAAACUGGGAAACUUGAGUGCAGGAGAGGAGAGUGGAAUUCCUAGUGUAGCGGUGAAAUGCGUAGAUAUUAGGAGGAACACCAGUUGCGAAGGCGGCUCUCUGGACUGUAACUGACACUGAGGCACGAAAGCGUGGGGAGCAAACAGG
Molecule: ribosomal RNA, 406 nt
Filed under: uncultured prokaryote
Also listed under: 1 other name
Description: bacterial SSU rRNA
Rfam family: Bacterial small subunit ribosomal RNA
Source: RNAcentral